UACGAAGGGUGCUAGCGUUGCUCGGAAUUACUGGGCGUAAAGCGCACGUAGGCGGUCUUUUAAGUCGGGGGUGAAAUCCUGGAGCUCAACUCCAGAACUGCCUUCGAUACUGGAAGACUUGAGUCCGGGAGAGGUGAGUGGAACUGCGAGUGUAGAGGUGAAAUUCGUAGAUAUUCGCAAGAACACCAGUGGCGAAGGCGGCUCACUGGCCCGGUACUGACGCUGAGGUGCGAAAGCGUGGGGAGCAAACAGG
RNAcentral lists this ribosomal RNA (253 nucleotides) under uncultured bacterium. RNAcentral's name for it is "partial 16S ribosomal RNA". It matches the Rfam family "Bacterial small subunit ribosomal RNA", at positions 524 to 776 of the family's 1533-position model. The record is from RNAcentral.